CAUUGAAACACUGCUUCCCGUACGAUCAUCAAAGUUAAGUAACGUUGUGCCUGGUCUGUAUUUAGAUGGGUGACCGUUUGUUAAUACCAGGUGCUGUAAG
Non-coding RNA from Acanthosepion pharaonis, 100 nucleotides. The record is from the annotation of a GenBank genome assembly. Lineage: Eukaryota; Metazoa; Mollusca; Cephalopoda; Sepiida; Sepiidae.